This 103-nucleotide ribosomal RNA is filed under the name Rosa hybrid cultivar. Its description in RNAcentral is "4.5S ribosomal RNA". Lineage: Eukaryota; Viridiplantae; Streptophyta; Magnoliopsida; Rosales; Rosaceae. The record is from RNAcentral.
GAAGGUCACGGCGAGACGAGCCGUUUAUCAUUACGAUAGGUGUCAAGUGGAAGUGCAGUGAUGUAUGCAGCUAAGGCAUCCUAGCAGAUCGGUAGACUUGAAC